This 364-nucleotide ribosomal RNA is filed under the name uncultured Glomeromycotina. RNAcentral's name for it is "SSU rRNA". It matches the Rfam family "Eukaryotic small subunit ribosomal RNA", at positions 569 to 941 of the family's 1831-position model. Lineage: Eukaryota; Fungi; Glomeromycota. The record is from RNAcentral.
AGCAGCCGCGGUAAUUCCAGCUCCAAUAGCGUAUAUUAAAGUUGUUGCAGUUAAAAGCUCGUAGUUGAAUUUCGGGACCAAUUUGUUGGUCGUGCCUCGGUACGUACUGGUAUUAUUGGUUUCUCCCUUCUGAAGAACCUCGAUGCCAUUAAUUUGGUGUCGUGGGGAAUCAGGACUGUUACUUUGAAAAAUUGAGUGUUUAAAGCAAGCAUACGCUUGAAUACAUUAGCAUGGAAUAAUGAAAUAGGACGUUUGAUUCUAUUUUGUUGGUUUCUAGGAUCGACGUAAUGAUUAAUAGGGAUAGUUGGGGGCAUUAGUAUUCAAUUGUCAGAGGUGAAAUUCUUGGAUUUAUUGAAGACUAACU